AACCUGAAACCGUUACGGGGGAAGCGAAUUGCGUCGAAUUGAUUUUAUGGGGGGUGCACUGUUCAGCGCGUUUUGAGUGUACUCAGGGCAUUUUUCCUUACCCGUCGUGGGUUUUUGGAUGGUCGAAUUUGGGCCGUCUAGGACUGAGGGAUCCUCUUUUUUUAAUAUAAGGGUGAGGACGACGGGGCGCUGACGCGAUACGACCCGUCUUGAAACACGGACCAAGGAGUUCAGCAUAUGUGCGAGUCAAAGGGUGGUGAAACCUGAGGGCGCAUUGAAAGCGAUUUAACACGGAUCGUGUAAGAACUAAAACAUAUAAUUUUCAGUUUUAAGGCGGCAUACAAUGGGUGAUUGUAGGACCGACCUCGAGCAGAUAUGCUGAGACCCGAAAGAUGGUGAACUAUGCCGGAGUAGGGCGAAGCCAGAGGAAACUCUGGUGGAGGCUCGUAGCGGUGCUGACGUGCAAAUCGCUCGUCUGACUUGGGUAUAGGGGCGAAAGACUAAUC
This 506-nucleotide ribosomal RNA is filed under the name Acrosorium sp. LLG-2014. RNAcentral's name for it is "eukaryotic LSU rRNA". It matches the Rfam family "Eukaryotic large subunit ribosomal RNA", at positions 396 to 936 of the family's 3401-position model. Lineage: Eukaryota; Rhodophyta; Florideophyceae; Ceramiales; Delesseriaceae. The record is from RNAcentral.